AAUAAGUAUGUUUUGUUUAUCAAGAUGAAUAAUCUUCUUUUUGUUCAUAACUCUUCUCUGUUCAUCUUUGCCUAGAGAGCUUCUCAGCUCAUAGUUUAACAUGGUAUCAUAUCAUUCGUUCAUGGUGCUAUAGCUUAAAUUAGUUAUCUCUUAGUUGUGUAGUUGUAUCGUUGAAGGUUCCAGCAAUGACGAUCGCAAAAAUUUAUCGGAAUGAUCCUUUGUACAUUAUACUUUCCCUUUAAAUAGUCAUCGGUACAUUUGGUGUUCCAUGUGUCCUUAUUGAAGAAGUGUACUGGAGAUCUGACUUCUAUUGCACCAUAAGAGAAUCUUUGUAUAAAGGGAAGUCUUUGUAUCAAGAAGUGUCGUUUGAGAUUUUGGACUGGCAAGUGUGGAAGUUGAGAAACAAAGAAUUUGCGUCUGUAGAAGUGUUGUGGAGGAAUCAAACGUUAAGGGUGAUACUAAGGAGAGCGCAACCGAUGUUAUAUCCCGAUCCUCAUCUCUUUUCCUCCAAUCCAACUCUAGGUUGAGAUGCUCUUGUGAGAUUGAAGGUUGAAAUGAAAGGUGAUUGAUGAUGCUUUACCAUUUCGGAUCGGCGUUCCACCGAUUAAGCAAAGUAUGAAGAGGAAGCUGAAUGGGAAAAUGUGAGAUUAUGCAUAACACGAGAAAUACUUUGUUUAUCAACCAAUUAAGGUCAUUUGCAAUAAGAACUAGAUUUCAAAGUCAUUUCUAAUUGUAUGAUAUGUUAAUUAAAGGCGAAAUGAUUUAAUGGACCCUAUACUUAUAUGUGUUUGUAUUGUGAA
This is a long non-coding RNA of Solanum lycopersicum (tomato), 800 nucleotides long. RefSeq lists it as uncharacterized. NCBI's taxonomy places the organism in Eukaryota, Viridiplantae, Streptophyta, Magnoliopsida, Solanales, Solanaceae. The record is from RefSeq and is a predicted model, not a curated record.